CAGUAGCCGCGGUAAUACGUAGGUAGCAAGCGUUGUCCGGAAUUAUUGGGCGUAAAGGGCUCGCAGGCGGUUUCUUAAGUCCGAUGUGAAAGCCCCCGGCUCAACCGGGGAGGGUCAUUGGAAACUGGGAAACUUGAGUGCAGAAGAGGAGAGUGGAAUCCCACGUGUAGCGGUGAAAUGCGUAGAGAUGUGGAGGAACACCAGUGGCGAAGGCGACUCUCUGGUCUGUAACUGACGCUGAGGAGCGAAAGCGUGGGGAGCGAACAGGAUUAGAUACCCGCGUAGUCCCUGUCUCUUAUAC
This 301-nucleotide ribosomal RNA is filed under the name uncultured bacterium. RNAcentral's name for it is "partial 16S ribosomal RNA". It matches the Rfam family "Bacterial small subunit ribosomal RNA", at positions 509 to 807 of the family's 1533-position model. The record is from RNAcentral.